AACGCACCUUGCGCUCCUUGGUAUUCCGAGGAGCAUGCCUGUUUGAGUGUCAUGUAUUCCUCAGCCUCUCUUGGAUUUUUCUGAGAUGAAGCUGGAUGUGGAGGCUGCAGGUUUUAUUCAUAAAAUCAGCUCCUCUUAAAUGCAUUAGUGUGAAUGUUGCUCAAUGUUCCCCAGUGUAAUAAUUACUUGCGCUGUUGGAGCUUGUGCAAAAAUAUAAAAGUUCAUGCUUACAACAGUCCCUUCAAUGGGCCAUCUUAUACUUUGCAUUUGACCUCAAAUCAGGUAGGAUUACCCGCUGAACUUAA
This 305-nucleotide ribosomal RNA is filed under the name uncultured fungus. RNAcentral describes it as "eukaryotic LSU rRNA". The stretch from base 1 to 52 matches the Rfam family "5.8S ribosomal RNA", at positions 103 to 154 of the family's 154-position model. Lineage: Eukaryota; Fungi. The record is from RNAcentral.